Small nucleolar RNA from Capsella rubella, 104 nucleotides. It matches the Rfam family "Small nucleolar RNA Z157/R69/R10". Rfam says of the family: Z157, R69 and R10 are members of the C/D class of snoRNA which contain the C (UGAUGA) and D (CUGA) box motifs. Most of the members of the box C/D family function in directing site-specific 2'-O-methylation of substrate RNAs. The record is from Rfam. NCBI's taxonomy places the organism in Eukaryota, Viridiplantae, Streptophyta, Magnoliopsida, Brassicales, Brassicaceae.
UAUGAUAUGGUGAUGAUACAAGUGUAAUAUGUGGACUAGAGUUUCAGAUCUGGGAUUCUUCUCCCAGUAGUUGAAGAUUAACCCUUGGCUGUCUGAGUAUCAUC